RNAcentral lists this ribosomal RNA (443 nucleotides) under uncultured bacterium. RNAcentral's name for it is "partial 16S ribosomal RNA". It matches the Rfam family "Bacterial small subunit ribosomal RNA", at positions 338 to 795 of the family's 1533-position model. The record is from RNAcentral.
CCUACGGGAGGCAGCAGUGGGGGAUAUUGGACAAUGGGGGGAACCCUGAUCCAGCGACGCCGCGUGAGUGAAGAAGUAUUUCGGUAUGUAAAGCUCUGUCAGCAGGGAAGAAAGAAAUGACGGUACCUGACCAAGAAGCCCCGGCUAACUACGUGCCAGCAGCCGCGGUAAUACGUAGGGGGCAAGCGUUAUCCGGAAUUACUGGGUGUAAAGGGAGCGUAGACGGUUAAGUAAGUCUGGAGUGAAAGGCCGGGGCGCAACCCCGGGACUGCUCUGGAAACUAUUGAACUUGAGUGCAGGAGAGGUAAGCGGAAUUCCUAGUGUAGCGGUGAAAUGCGUAGAUAUUAGGAGGAACACCAGUGGCGAAGGCGGCUUACUGGACUGUAACUGACGUUGAGGCUCGAAAGCGUGGGGAGCAAACAGGAUUAGAUACCCGAGUAGUC